AGCGAACGCUGGCGGCAGGCCUAACACAUGCAAGUCGAACGGAUCCUUCGGGAUUAGUGGCGGACGGGUGAGUAACACGUGGGAACGUGCCCUUUGGUUCGGAACAACUCAGGGAAACUUGAGCUAAUACCGGAUGUGCCCUUCGGGGGAAAGAUUUAUCGCCAUUGGAGCGGCCCGCGUCUGAUUAGCUAGUUGGUGAGGUAAAGGCUCACCAAGGCGACGAUCAGUAGCUGGUCUGAGAGGAUGAUACGCCACAUUGGGACUGAGACACGGCCCAAACUCCUACGGGAGGCAGCAGUGGGGAAUCUUGCGCAAUGGGCGAAAGCCUGGCGCAGCCAUGCCGCGUGAAUGAUGAAGGUCUUAGGAUUGUAAAAUUCUUUCACCGGGGACGAUAAUGACGGUACCCGGAGAAGAAGCCCCGGCUAACUUCGUGCCAGCCGCCGCAGUAA
RNAcentral lists this ribosomal RNA (449 nucleotides) under uncultured bacterium. Its description in RNAcentral is "partial 16S ribosomal RNA". It matches the Rfam family "Bacterial small subunit ribosomal RNA", at positions 29 to 523 of the family's 1533-position model. The record is from RNAcentral.